GUAGGUGAACCUGCGGAAGGAUCAUUAGUGAAUUUUAGGGCAUCUACUUCGGUAGAGCCUGACCCCCACUUUCUAACACUGUGCACACAUUGGCGGGAGAAUAUUAGCAAGGAAGUAAAAUUUUUAGCUUAUAUUUUCUUGCGGCUCAUUUUAAACAUUAGUUAAAGUAUGUAACGAAAUAUCGAAAUAAAAAAAACUUUCAACAACGGAUCUCUUGGCUCUC
RNAcentral lists this unclassified non-coding RNA (223 nucleotides) under rhizosphere metagenome. RNAcentral describes it as "partial ribosomal RNA internal transcribed spacer region". The record is from RNAcentral.